UACGAAGGGGGCUAGCGUUGCUCGGAAUCAUUGGGCGUAAAGGGCGCGUAGGCGGCGGGGUAAGUCUGGUGUGAAAUCUCGGAGCUCAACUCCGAAAUUGCACUGGAUACUGCUCUGCUAGAGGGCUGGAGAGGAGAUCGGAAUUCACGGUGUAGCAGUGAAAUGCGUAGAUAUCGUGAGGAAGACCAGUGGCGAAGGCGGAUCUCUGGACAGCUCCUGACGCUGAGGCGCGAAGGCUAGGGGGAGCAAACGGG
RNAcentral lists this ribosomal RNA (254 nucleotides) under uncultured bacterium. RNAcentral describes it as "partial 16S ribosomal RNA". It matches the Rfam family "Bacterial small subunit ribosomal RNA", at positions 524 to 776 of the family's 1533-position model. The record is from RNAcentral.